AACGAACGCUGGCGGCAGGCUUAACACAUGCAAGUCGAACGCCCCGCAAGGGGGGUGGCAGACGGGUGAGUAACGCGUGGGAACAUACCCUUUUCUACGGAAUAGCUCUGGGAAACUGGAAUUAAUACCGUAUACGCCCUACGGGGGAAAGAUUUAUCGGGGAAGGAUUGGCCCGCGUUGGAUUAGCUAGUUGGUGGGGUAAAGGCCUACCAAGGCGACGAUCCAUAGCUGGUCUGAGGGGAUGAUCAGCCACAUUGGGACUGAGACACGGCCCAAACUCCUACGGGAGGCAGCAGUGGGGAAUAUUGGACAAUGGGCGCAAGCCUGAUCCAGCCAUGCCGCGUGAGUGAUGAAGGCCUUAGGGUUGUAAAGCUCUUUCACCGAUGAAGAUAAUGACGGUAGUCGGAGAAGAAGCCCCGGCUAACUUCGUG
RNAcentral lists this ribosomal RNA (431 nucleotides) under uncultured bacterium. RNAcentral's name for it is "partial 16S ribosomal RNA". It matches the Rfam family "Bacterial small subunit ribosomal RNA", at positions 29 to 507 of the family's 1533-position model. The record is from RNAcentral.